GACGAACGCUGGCGGCGUGCCUAAUACAUGCAAGUAGAACGCACAGGAUGCACCGUAGUUUACUACACCGUAUUCUGUGAGUUGCGAACGGGUGAGUAACGCGUAGGUAACCUGCCUGGUAGCGGGGGAUAACUAUUGGAAACGAUAGCUAAUACCGCAUAAGAACAUUUACUGCAUGGUAGAUGUUUAAAAGGUGCAAAUGCAUCACUACCAGAUGGACCUGCGUUGUAUUAGCUAGUAGGUGAGGUAACGGCUCACCUAGGCGACGAUACAUAGCCGACCUGAGAGGGUGAUCGGCCACACUGGGACUGAGACACGGCCCAGACUCCUACGGGAGGCAGCAGUAGGGAAUCUUCGGCAAUGGGGGGAACCCUGACCGAGCAACGCCGCGUGAGUGAAGAAGGUUUUCGGAUCGUAAAGCUCUGUUGUUAAGGAAGAACGAGUGUGAGAAUGGAAAGUUCAUACUGGAC
RNAcentral lists this ribosomal RNA (470 nucleotides) under Streptococcus intermedius. RNAcentral's name for it is "bacterial SSU rRNA". It matches the Rfam family "Bacterial small subunit ribosomal RNA", at positions 28 to 478 of the family's 1533-position model. Lineage: Bacteria; Bacillati; Bacillota; Bacilli; Lactobacillales; Streptococcaceae. The record is from RNAcentral.